Lagenorhynchus albirostris (white-beaked dolphin) is the source of this 535-nucleotide long non-coding RNA. RefSeq lists it as uncharacterized. Lineage: Eukaryota; Metazoa; Chordata; Mammalia; Artiodactyla; Delphinidae. The transcript is spliced from 3 exons. The record is from RefSeq and is a predicted model, not a curated record.
UAAGGACUUGUCAGUUCCCAGUGACCUCCCUCCUCCCCUUCCUCCCCUCCCUUCCCCGCGGAACGUAGGAUUAAGAGCCUUUCGGCGAAAUUUUCGGCCGAAGAAAAGGCCCAAGAAAGUCACCACGUCAGAUGUGGACUCCCAGUGUUAUUCAUUAACAGUUUGUAAAUGAUAAAUAGCUGCCAGCCCAACUUCUGAUUCUUAGGCAACUCCAUUUUACCAACAAACCACUCAUUUUGAUUUGGUGACCAUGCUUUGGGAUUUUCAUAGUUUGAGUAAUUCCUCUGGGCUCUACCACCCAGCAAGUUAAAGAGGACAAGAUUCCUCCCUGGGGAUUGUGGUUCUGGGAAUGUGAGCAGCUUGUUUUCAUGAGAGCUGCACCCAGACGGGACCUACUGUUAGGAGCUGUUGUGUGGGUGGCUGUGUUGUUUUUAGUUGUUUCUUCCAUCCUACACUGUUGUUUAUAUAUAAAGAUUUUUGAAAAGUGAAUGUUUUACAGGGCUGUUUUGCUUAUACAAAGAAAAUUAAAACAAUU